RNAcentral lists this ribosomal RNA (124 nucleotides) under Lacticaseibacillus zeae. Its description in RNAcentral is "Lactobacillus zeae partial 16S ribosomal RNA". It matches the Rfam family "Bacterial small subunit ribosomal RNA", at positions 1 to 101 of the family's 1533-position model. Lineage: Bacteria; Bacillati; Bacillota; Bacilli; Lactobacillales; Lactobacillaceae. The record is from RNAcentral.
UUUAUAUGAGAGUUUGAUCCUGGCUCAGGAUGAACGCUGGCGGCGUGCCUAAUACAUGCAAGUCGAACGAGUUUUGGUCGAUGAACGGUGCUUGCAUCGUGAUUCAACUUAAAACGAGUGGCGG